RNAcentral lists this long non-coding RNA (3690 nucleotides) under Lathyrus oleraceus (garden pea). RNAcentral describes it as "Pisum sativum (pea) long non-coding RNA (PSAT_LNC040757)". The record is from RNAcentral. Lineage: Eukaryota; Viridiplantae; Streptophyta; Magnoliopsida; Fabales; Fabaceae.
UCAACAUUUUCAUCAUUCCCGCAAUUCAAUCAAAUUUCAUGGGUUUAACAACAACAUUUUCAUUAUUCACACAAUUCAAUCAAAUUUCAUGGGUAUAACAUCAAUAUUUCAUCAUUUCCUUAAUUCAAUCAAAUUUUAUAGGUUUAACAACAACGUAUUUAUCAUUCACACGAUCCAAUAUAAUUUCCUAUGUUUACCAACAUCAUUUUCAUCAUGCACACAAUUCAAUUCAAUUUCAAGGGUUUAACAACAACAUUUUCAUCAUUCCCACAAUUCAAUCAAAUUUCAUGGGUUUAACAUCAUCUUUUUCAUUAUUCCCACAAUUCAAUCAAAUUUCAUGGGUUUAACAUCAUCAUUUUUAUCAUUCCCAUAAUUCAAUCAAAUCUUAGGGGUUUAACAAUAAUAUUUUCAUUAUUCACACAAUUCACUCAAAUUUCAUGGGUUUAACAAUAACAUUUUCAACAUUCCCACAAUUCAAUCAAAUUUCAUGGGUUUAACAACAACAUUUUCAUUAUUCACACAAUUCAAUCAAAUUUCAUGAGUUUAACAUCCACAUUUCAUCAUUCCAACAAUUCAAUCAAAUUUCAAAAGUUUAACAACAAUGUUUUCAUCAUUCACACAAUCCAAUCAAAUUUCCUAGGUUUAACAACAUUUUCAUCAUUCCCACAAUUCAAUCAAAUUUCAUGGGUUUAACAUCAACAUUUUCAUCAUUCACACAAUUCAAUCCAAUUUCAUGGGUUUAACAUCAACAUUUCAUCAUUUUCAAAAUUCAAUCAAAUUUCAUAGGUUUAACAACAACGUUUUCAUCAUUCAUACAAUUCAAUCAAAUUUCAAAGGUUUAACAACAAUAUUUUCAUCAUUCACACAAUUCAAUCAAAUUUCAUGGGUUUAAUAACAACAUUCUCAUCAUUCCCAUAAUUCAAUCAACUUUCAUGGGUUUAACAUCGACAUUUUCAUCAUUCCCACAAUUCAAUCAAAUUUCAUGGGUUUAACAUCAUCAUUUUCAUCAUUCCCACAAUUCAAUCUAAUUUCAUGGGUUUAAAAUCAAGAUUUACAUCAUUCCCACAAUUAAAUCAAAUUUCAUGGGUUUAACAACAACAUUUUCAUCAUUCACACAAUUCAAUCAAAUUUUAUGGGUUUAACAACAAUUUUUUUAUCAUUCACAUAAUUCAAUCAAAUUUCAUGGUUUUAACAACAAUAUUUUCAUUUAUUCCCAUAAUUCAAUCAAACUUCAUGGGUUUAACUUUAUAUUUACAUCAUUCCCACAAACCAAUCAAAUCUUAUGGGUUUAACAAUAAUAUUUUCAUUAUUCACACAAUUCACUCAAAUUUGAUGGGCCUAACAAUAACAUUUUCAUCAUUCCCACAAUUCAAUCAAAUUUCAUGGGUUUAACAACAACAUUUUCAUUAUUCACACAAUUCAAUCAAAUUUCAUGAGUUUAACAUCCACAUUUCAUCAUUUCCACAAUUCAAUCAAAUUUCAUAAGUUUAACAACAAUGUUUUCACAUGAGUUUAACAUCCACAUUUCAUCAUUUCCACAAUUCAAUCAAAUUUCAUAAGUUUAACAACAAUGUUUUCAUCAUUCACACAAUCCAAUCAAAUUUCCUAGGUUUACCAACAUUUUCAUCAUGCACAGAAUUCAAUUAAACUUCAAGGGUUUAACAACAACAUUUUCAUUAUUCCCACUAUUCAAUCAAAUUUCAUGGGUUUAACAUCAUCAUUUUCAUCAUUCCCACAAUUCAAUCAAAUUUCAUGGGUUUAACAUCAUCGUUUUUAUCAUUCCCACAAUUCAAUCAAAUUUCAUGGGUUUAACAUCAGCAUUUUCAUCAUUCCUACCAUUCAAUCGAAUUUCAUGGGUUUAGCAUCAACAUUUUCAUCAUUCCCACAAUUCAAUCAAAUUUCAUGGGUUUAACAUCAUAUUUUCAUCAUUUCCAUAAUUCAAUCAAAUUUCAUAGGUUUAACAACAAAGUUUUCAUCAUUCACACAAUCCAAUCAAAUUUCAUAGGUUUAACAACAACAUUUUCAUCAUGCACACAAUUCAAUUAAAUUUCUUGGGUUUAACAACAACAUUUUCAUCAUUCACACAAUUCAAUCAAAUUUCGUGGGUUUAACAUCAACAUUUUCAUCAUUCCAAAAUUCAAUCAAAUUUCAUGGGUUUAGCAACAACAUUUUCAUCAUUCACACAAUUCAAUCAAAUUUCAUGGAUUUAACAGCAUAAUUUUCAUCAUUCCCACAAUUCAAUCAAAUUUCAUGGGUUUAACCUCACAUUUUCAUCAUUCCCACAAUUCAAUCAAAUUUUAUGGGUUUAACAAUAACAUUUUCAUUAUUCACACAAUUCAAUCAAAUUUCAUGGGUUUAACAUCAACAUUUUCAUCAUUCCCGCAAUUCAAUCAAAUUUCAUGGGUUUAACAACAACAUUUUCAUUAUUCACACAAUUCAAUCAAAUUUCAUAAGAGAGAUAUGAAAUUUGAUUGAAUUAUGGAAAUGAUGCAAAUGUUGAUUGUUAUACCNNNNNNNNNNNNNNNNNNNNNNNNNUGAUUGAUGUUAAACCAUGAAAUUUGAUUGAAUAGUGGAAUGAUGAAAAUGUUGUUGUUUAAACCUUGAAAUUAAUUGAAUUGUGUGCAUGAUGAAAAUGUUGGUAAACCUAGGAAAUUUGAUUGGAUUGUGUGAAUGAUGAAACAUUGUUGUUAAACUUAUGAAAUUUCAUUGAAUUGUGGAAAUGAUGAAAUGUGGAUGCUAAUCAUGAAUUUGAUUGAAUUGUGGAAUAAUGAAAAAGAUGAUGUUAAACCCAUUUGAUUGUGUGGAUGAUUGAAAAUGUUUGUUGGUUAAACCAAUGAAAUAUGAGUGAAUUGUGUGAAUGAUGAAACAUUGUUUUUAAACUCAUGAAAUUAAUUGAAUUGUUAAAUGAUAAAAUGUGGAUGUUUAAACUCAUGAAAUUUGAUUAAAUUGUGUGAAUAAUGAAAAUGUUGUUGUUAACCCAUGAAAUUUGAUUGAAUUGUGGGAAUGAUGAAAAUGUUAUUGUUAACCCAUGAAAUUUGAGUGAAUUGUGUGAAUAAUGAAUAUUAUUGUUAACCCAUAAGAUUUGAUGAUUAUGGCGAUGAAUGAUGAAUGUUUUUUUAACCCUUUGAAAUCGAAUGAAUCUCUCUUCAAGGGUUUAACAACAACAUUUUCAUCAUUCCCACAAUUCAAUCAAAUUUCAUGGGUUUAACAUCAUCUUUUUCAUUAUUCCCACAAUUCAAUCAAAUUUCAUGGGUUUAACAUCAUCAUUUUUAUUAUUCCCACAAUUCAAUCAAAUUUCAUGGUUUUAACAUCAACAUUUUCAUCAUUCCUACCAUUCAAUCGAAUUUCAUGGGUUUAGCAUCAACAUUUUCAUCAUUCCCACAAUUCAAUCAAAAUUCAUGGGUUUAACAUCAACAUUUCAUCAUUUCCAUAAUUCAAUCAAAUUUCAUAGGUUUAACAACAACGUUUUCAUCAUUCACACAAUCCAAUCAAAUUUCAUAGGUUUAACAACAACAUUUUCAUCAUGCACACAAUUCAAUUAAAUUUCAUGUGUUUAACAACAACAUUUUCAUCAUUCACACAAUUCAAUCAAAUUUCAUGGGUUUAACAUCAACAUUUUCAUCAUUCCCACAAUUCAAUCAAAUUUCAUGGGUUUAGCAACAACAUUUUCAUCAUUCACACAAUUCAAUC